This 2223-nucleotide long non-coding RNA is filed under the name Arachis ipaensis. Its description in RNAcentral is "long non-coding RNA (AIPA_LNC001712)". The record is from RNAcentral. Lineage: Eukaryota; Viridiplantae; Streptophyta; Magnoliopsida; Fabales; Fabaceae.
GCGUGAAUCGAAAACGAUAUAUAGAUAAUGUCAUAAAGAAGAAUAAGAAAAGGACAGAAUGUAGAUAUAUAUAGCAUAAGUAAAUAGCCACUAGUCGCGGCUCGCGAAGUUUAGACUAGCUAGGGUACAUAACAAAAGUAGUUUGACAACAUUAGGUCCUACCUCUCCCAUUUAUAUGCAUAAAGGUCUCUAUAGGCAAGUUCCAAAAGAGAUUGAUACAUGAUAUAAGUUUUUCAAAAUAAAGGUGGAGAGAUUCUAAACAAAAUAUAAGUCAGAGAAUACAAAGAUCUUCACCAUCUCUCAUAUGAACCACAGCUCACUCCUGAGUACCUGGACCUGCAUCUGAAAAACAAGAGAUAUAUAUGGAAUGAGAACUCCCGACCUAUGGGUUUCCAGUAUGGUAAAAGUGCCAAAUAAAUAUGUAAAUAAAUAUGUAAACCAAAUCAUUUUCUAACAUAGAGUCAUUUCUCAAAAUAAGCUUGUAAAUCAAGUUUCUAAAAUGAAAUCAUUUUUUCGUAUAUUUUUACAAGAAAUUGGCCAGCAUCUCCUCUUAAAAUUGGACUUCACCACCCUUGCGGGCUCCCUCAAUUUCAUAACUUCCCAAUAAUCAGCAUAUUUAUCACCAUACAAUUAUAUUCUUUGUAAAAUCAUUUAUAGAUCUUCAAAGCUAAUACUUUUAGUUAAAGAAUUCAUUUUUAAGAACUCAAUUUGAAAAUCCAAACUCAAAUCUUUUCAUAAUUCAAUAAACUUCCAUUUCAUAAAUUACUCAUUAGAAUUUGAUUCAGCAACCAAUUAAAACGCUAUUAAGUAGAAACCAAAACUUUCAAAAAGCAUUCAAUGAUUUCAAUCUCAAACAACCUUAUAAGUAUUAAACGAAUUUUCAAUUCAGACGCACAUAAUCAUCAUCAUACUAACACCAAAAUAAAUUAUCGUUCACUUUCACAACCAAAACCUCAAUCAGAAUCAUAGCUAAUCAUUCACAGCCAAGAAUCCAAAUUCAAUAACAUUAAAUUGUUAACAUAUUUGCAAUUAUCUACGAUACUUUUAGGCAUUCUUAAAUUAAAACUUUUAAUUUUAAAAAUGAACCCCUACCUCGAUUAGCCAAAAUCACAAAUUGAAUACGACAGCCCCCAUUUUGUUUUUAAUUUCAGCAGUAGUGACAAUCCUAAUGCAACCAGGGACAGUGGCAGCUGCAUCAACUGGAAUAGCAGCAGCUUCAAUUCUGCGGCGAUGAUGGUUGCAGCAAAAUAGAGAAUUCAAACUGAAUAAGAAUAAAAAACAAACAACCCUGGGAAAUUUAAAACAGGGCAUAUACUAGAAUCAAAUCAGACUAAGCGUGACAGUGACAAUAAAACGUCUAAAUGGACCGUAAUCAAGGAAAAGAGCAAUCCAGAAUUAAAGUAGCAAUUUCAAAUUCAUCAACAGCAGCUCUAACAAUUCCUUAAUAGCAUCAACACUAUCACCUAUGAUAGUUUCAGCAGUAAACAGGGAAAGCAGAGUAGCAGUAUUAAACAGAGAUGUAGGUUUCCUUACUUAGAACAGAAGAAAGACAAAGGAACAAGAUGGAAGCAAAGCAAUGAUUAAAUAAGGCCUGACGGCAACGAUUUUGACCCCACUUAGCGACAGCGGCGGCGGCGGAUCUGAACGGCGCGAGAACGGACCUCGUCCUUCUCCUUGUCGCAUUUCUGCUCCUCUUUCCCCUGCGUCUCUCUCUCGCAUUUCACUUUCCUCUACCCUAAUCGAUGUCGACGGCGGUGAUGAAAGCUUCGGCGGCACGUCAGUGGCGAUGGAGGCACAGCAACGAUGAGGCGUCCCCUCCUUCUCGUGUGACACUCCCUCUGGUUCUCCCUCUCUCAGCCGCGGCUCUUGCUCCUUCUCCAAGUGACUCGACGGCAGCGGCGGCACCAAGCCCCGCGGUGCCGUUGGUCCCUUUCUCUUCUCCCUGUCCUCUGUCUCUCUCCCUGUUCUCUGUUCCCCACUCGAGCUCCCUCUUCUCCCUUUUCUUUCCCUUUCUGCUUCUGUACGUGUGGGAAGCGAGAGUGAGGGACAUGAGUGUGAGUGCGUUGGUGAGGCUAAGAGUGAGUGAAGCGAGUCUAUGUGUGUAUAUCUGGGAAGAGGAAGGUAGUGGGUGAGGUGGUGGGUUAGUAAGGAGAAACUGAGCGUGGCUCAGUGAAGGGUGAACAGGUGGGGGGUAUACGUGUGGGUGAAUUGGGUAAUGGAGUU